GGUCCAGACUCCUACGGGAGGCAGCAGUGGGGAAUAUUGCACAAUGGGGGGAACCCUGAUGCAGCGACGCCGCGUGGGUGAAGGAGCACCUCGGUGCGUAAAGCCCUAUCGGCAGGGAAGAAACAGACGGUACCUGACUAAGAAGCCCCGGCUAACUACGUGCCAGCAGCCGCGGGAAUACGGAGGAUGCGAGCGUUAUCCGGAUUUAUUGGGUUUAAAGGGUGCGUAGGCGGACUGGAAAGUCAGCGGUAAAAGCGAGAGGCUCAACCUCUUUCCGCCGUUGAAACUGUCGGUCUUGAGUGGGCGAGAAGUAUGCGGAAUGCGUGGUGUAGCGGUGAAAUGCAUAGAUAUCACGCAGAACUCCGAUUGCGAAGGCAGCAUACCGGCGCCCGACUGACGCUGAGGCACGAAAGCGUGGGUAUCGAACAGGAUUAGAUACCCGUGUA
Molecule: ribosomal RNA, 446 nt
Filed under: uncultured bacterium
Lineage: Bacteria
Description: partial 16S ribosomal RNA
Rfam family: Bacterial small subunit ribosomal RNA
Source: RNAcentral